UCUCUCUCUUCUCCUUCUGGCACCCCUAUAAUAUGGAUGUUGGUGCAUUUAAUGUUGUCACAGAGUUCUCUGAGACUCUCUUCAUUUCUUUUCAGUCUUUUUUCUCUUUUCUGUUCUGCAUCAGUGAUUUCCAUUAGUCUGUCCUCCACCUCGCUUAUUCGUUCUUCUGCCUCCUGUAUUCUGCUGUUGGUUGUUUCUAAUGAAUUUUUUAUUUCAGUUAUUGUAUUUUGCAUCCCUGCUUGCUUAAGUUUUAAAUCUUUUAUUUCUUUGCUCAGUGUUUCCUGUAAAUUAUCCAUCUUUGCCUCCAGUUUAUUUCCAAUGUUUUGCAUCAUCUUCACUAUCAUCAGGUUAAAGUCUUUUUCCUAGAGGCUGAUAAUCUCCAGAUCACUUAGCUAUUUUUCUGGGGGUUUUUUCCUUUCAUUGCAUUAAGGAUAUUGUGCCACUCCCUCUGGCCUGCAGAAUUUCUGCUGAAAAAUCUGCCAAUAACCUUAUCAGGGGUCCCUUGUAUGUUAUUUGUUUCUUUUCCCUAGCAACUUUCAAUAUUUUCUCUUUGUCUUUAAUUUUAGUCAGUUUGAUUAAUACGUAUCUUGGGGUGUUUCUCCUUGGGUUUAUUGUAUGUGGUACUCUUUGUCCUUCCUGGAUUUGAGUGAGUGGCUCCUUUCCCAUGUUAGGGAAGCAUUUGGCUAUUAUCUCUUGGAAUAUGUUUUCUGUCCCUUUUUCUCUCUCUUCUCCUUCUGGCACCCCUAUAAUAUGGAUGUUGGUGCAUUUAAUGUUGUCACAGAGUUCUCUGAGACUCUCUUCAUUUCUUUUCAGUCUUUUUUCUCUUUUCUGUUCUGCAUCAGUGAUUUCCAUUAGUCUGUCCUCCACCUCGCUUAUUUGUGCUUCUGCCUCCUGUAUUCUGCUGUUGGUUGUUUCUAAUGAAUUUUUUAUUUCAGUUAUUAUAUUUUGCAUCCCUGCUUGCUUAAGUUUUAAAUCUUGUAUUUCUUUGCUCAGUGUUUCCUGUAAAUUAUCCAUCUUUGCCUCCAGUUUAUUUCCAAUGUUUUGCAUCAUCUUCA
RNAcentral lists this long non-coding RNA (1055 nucleotides) under Sus scrofa (pig). Its description in RNAcentral is "lncRNA (ENSSSCG00055022984.1)". Lineage: Eukaryota; Metazoa; Chordata; Mammalia; Artiodactyla; Suidae. The record is from RNAcentral.